GAUGAACGCUGGCGGCGUGCUUAACACAUGCAAGUCGAACGGGAAACCUUUUAAUGAAGCUUCUGCAGAUUUAGCUGGUUUCUAGUGGCGGACGGGUGAGUAACGCGUGGGUAACCUGCCUUAUACAGGGGGAUAACAGUCAGAAAUGACUGCUAAUACCGCAUAAGCGCACAGGACCGCAUGGUUCGGUGUGAAAAACUCCGGUGGUAUAAGAUGGACCCGCGUUGGAUUAGCUUGGUGGUGGGGUAACGGCUCACCAAGGCGACGAACCAGAGCCGGCAGGAGAGGGGGAACCGCCGCAUUGGGACUGAGACACGGCCCAGACUCCUACGGGAGGCAGCAGUGGGGAAUAUUGCAGGAUGGGGGAAACCCUGGUGCAGCGACGCGGCGGGAAGGAAGAAGUAGCUCGGUAUGUAAUCUUCUAUCAGCAGGGGAGUUAGUGACGGUACCUGACAAAGAAGCCCCGGCUAACUACGUG
This 478-nucleotide ribosomal RNA is filed under the name uncultured bacterium. RNAcentral describes it as "partial 16S ribosomal RNA". It matches the Rfam family "Bacterial small subunit ribosomal RNA", at positions 28 to 507 of the family's 1533-position model. The record is from RNAcentral.